AUGCUCCACUUUCUCCUUGCCUUUCUCCUGGGCACUUUUUUGGGUGUCGGUGCUCAGAUUAUUGAUCAACGGCCAGCUGUCAGUGUGCAGCCUGUGGGCAGUUCACUCUCUCUGGAGUGUACUGUCAAGGGGCAAUCAAGCCCCAACCUCUACUGGUACUGGCAGGACAAAGGAGGGACUCUCCAGCAGCUCUUCUACUCUAUUAGUGUUGGUGAUGUGGUAUCGGUGACAGCUCGGAACCUCUCGGCCUCCAGACCCCAAGAUGGCCAGUUCAUCUUGAGCUCUGAGAAGCUGCUUCUCAGUCACUCUGGCUUCUACUUCUGUGCCUGGAGUAUCACACUGACUGGGGUGGGGCAGGCAUCUGUGCAAAAACCACACCCUCUCCUUAGUCCUACCACCCUCACUAGGAGCCCUCGCUAG
This is a non-coding RNA of Microtus ochrogaster (prairie vole), 420 nucleotides long. The record is from the annotation of a RefSeq genome assembly. Lineage: Eukaryota; Metazoa; Chordata; Mammalia; Rodentia; Cricetidae.